This 74-nucleotide transfer RNA is filed under the name Candidatus Gottesmanbacteria bacterium RBG_16_38_7b. Its description in RNAcentral is "tRNA-Gln". It matches the Rfam family "tRNA". Rfam says of the family: Transfer RNA (tRNA) molecules are approximately 80 nucleotides in length. Their secondary structure includes four short double-helical elements and three loops (D, anti-codon, and T loops). The record is from RNAcentral. Lineage: Bacteria; Candidatus Gottesmaniibacteriota.
UGCGGGAUCGUCUAACGGUAGGACACGAGACUUUGGAUCUCGGUAUCAUGGUUCGAAUCCAUGUCCCGCAGCAA